This 337-nucleotide unclassified non-coding RNA is filed under the name soil metagenome. RNAcentral's name for it is "partial contains 5.8S ribosomal RNA, internal transcribed spacer 2, and large subunit ribosomal RNA". The stretch from base 1 to 120 matches the Rfam family "5.8S ribosomal RNA", at positions 35 to 154 of the family's 154-position model. The record is from RNAcentral.
GAUGAAGAACGCAGCGAAAUGCGAUAAGUAAUGUGAAUUGCAGAAUUCAGUGAAUCAUCGAAUCUUUGAACGCACAUUGCGCCCCUUGGUAUUCCGAGGGGCAUGCCUGUUCGAGCGUCAUUACACCACUCAAGCUAUGCUUGGUAUUGGGCGUCGUCCUUAGUUGGGCGCGCCUUAAAGACCUCGGCGAGGCCACUCCGGCUUUAGGCGUAGUAGAAUUUAUUCGAACGUCUGUCAAAGGAGAGGAACUCUGCCGACUGAAACCUUUAUUUUUCUAGGUUGACCUCGUAUCAGGUAGGGAUACCCGCUGAACUUAAGCAUAUCAAUAAGCGGAGGA